GAAAGCAGGCGAGGUGAUCGCGACCAGACUUUGUUCUGGUUGAGGAAAGUCCGGCCUCCUUAAUGACCAGGCUUGCUGGGUAAUACCCAGUGCGGGUAACCGUGAGGAAAGUGCCACAGAAACAUACCGCCAAUGACCUCGGGAAUUUUUCCAAGGUACAGGCAAGGGUGCAAAGGUGUGGUAAGAGCACACCAGCAAUAUCGAGAGAUAUUGACUUGGUAAACCCCAGCCAGGAGUAAGGCCUAGGGACAACGGUUGGUCCAUUUCCCUGUUCCGCUUUUGAGUGCCGCUUGAGAUUGUUGGUAACAGCAGUUCCAGAUAGAUGAUUACCCACUUCCUCUGAAUCUUCGUCAGUGGUAGUGAACAGAAUCCGGCUUACGUCCUGCUUUCAGAC
This 394-nucleotide RNase P RNA is filed under the name Paulinella chromatophora. RNAcentral describes it as "Bacterial RNase P class A". It matches the Rfam family "Bacterial RNase P class A". From Rfam's summary of the family: Ribonuclease P (RNase P) is a ubiquitous endoribonuclease, found in archaea, bacteria and eukarya as well as chloroplasts and mitochondria. The record is from Rfam by way of RNAcentral. Lineage: Eukaryota; Cercozoa; Imbricatea; Euglyphida; Paulinellidae.